RNAcentral lists this ribosomal RNA (340 nucleotides) under Bacillus sp. BAB-5793. RNAcentral's name for it is "bacterial SSU rRNA". It matches the Rfam family "Bacterial small subunit ribosomal RNA", at positions 1142 to 1481 of the family's 1533-position model. The record is from RNAcentral. Lineage: Bacteria; Bacillati; Bacillota; Bacilli; Caryophanales; Bacillaceae.
AAGGUGACUGCCGGUGACAAACCGGAGGAAGGUGGGGAUGACGUCAAAUCAUCAUGCCCCUUAUGACCUGGGCUACACACGUGCUACAAUGGGCAGAACAAAGGGCAGCGAAGCCGCGAGGCUAAGCCAAUCCCACAAAUCUGUUCUCAGUUCGGAUCGCAGUCUGCAACUCGACUGCGUGAAGCUGGAAUCGCUAGUAAUCGCGGAUCAGCAUGCCGCGGUGAAUACGUUCCCGGGCCUUGUACACACCGCCCGUCACACCACGAGAGUUUGUAACACCCGAAGUCGGUGAGGUAACCUUUUGGAGCCAGCCGCCGAAGGUGGGACAGAUGAUUGGGGU